Molecule: long non-coding RNA, 673 nt
Organism: Pipra filicauda (Wire-tailed manakin)
Lineage: Eukaryota; Metazoa; Chordata; Aves; Passeriformes; Pipridae
Exons: 3
Source: RefSeq, a predicted model, not a curated record
CCGGCAUGGCCCCUCCUGUCCCCUCACUGCGGGACAUGGAGCAUCCCUGAGGAGGAGGGGCUGCUUCGGGCCUGUUUAGUCUAGAGAAAAGUGAAAGGGGAUUUCACCCAUCCACAGAAACAUCUCAAAUAUCCACACAAGUAUCUAAUCUCAGAGGGGAUCUCACCGAUCCAUACAGAGAUCUCGAAUAUCGAUACAAAUAUCUCAUCUGAGGGGGGAGCUCAUCAAUCCAUACAAAUGUCUCAUCAACCCACGAGUUUUCAGUGCAGGUCACCAAGAAGCAGUUUGUACCCAGGUGAGCCCACUGUGUGAGCCAACAGGUCAGGGAUGGAAAUGCCUCUACCCAGAGCUGUCAAUAUCUGCUACCUCAGGGACCUGGGCUGGCAUGGAUCUCACUAAAGACAGGAAGCUUUUGUGAUCCUCUCCCUCAUCGUGAAGACCAACCACGAGCAGGAUGAGACAGUUUGAUCCUCACAGUCUUGGAAUAUCUUCUCUCAUUUUCUUCCAGGGCUGUUCAUUGUGCAGCUGAACCAAGAGCAGAGACAAAACCUGUGCAAACCCACCCUGCAGGCUGGAGUCCUUUCCAUCCAAAACAGUCCAAAAAAGUCAAUGGUUAGUUGAAAAUUUGGCAGAAUCAAGCAAGAUAAUAUAAAUAAAAAGCAAGUAAAAGAUU